UAACAAGGUAUCCCUACCGGAAGGUGGGGAUGGAUCACCUCCUUUCUAAGGAAUAAUUUUUUAAAUAUUCAUCUUCAGUUUUGAAAGACUUAGUUCUUAUAAGUUUUUCUUUUUUAAGGAAAAGAAAAUGGGCCUAUAGCUCAGUUGGUUAGAGCACACGCCUGAUAAGCGUGAGGUCGAUGGUUCAAGUCCAUUUAGGCCC
This 202-nucleotide transfer RNA is filed under the name Sugarcane whiteleaf phytoplasma. RNAcentral describes it as "partial contains 16S ribosomal RNA and 16S-23S ribosomal RNA intergenic spacer". The stretch from base 130 to 202 matches the Rfam family "tRNA". The record is from RNAcentral. Lineage: Bacteria; Bacillati; Mycoplasmatota; Mollicutes; Acholeplasmatales; Acholeplasmataceae.